GUAGGUGGCAAGCGUUGUCCGGGAAUUAUUGGGGCGUAAAGCGCGCGCAGGCGGUUUUUUAAGUCUGAUGUGAAAGCCCACGGGCUCAACCGUGGGAGGGGUCAUUGGAAACUGGAGAACUUGAGUGCAGAAGAGGAGAGCGGAAUUCCACGUGUAGCGGUGAAAUGCGUAGAGAUGUGGAGGAACACCAGUGGCGAAGGCGGCUCUCUGGUCUGUAACUGACGCUGAGGCGCGAAAGCGUGGGGAGCAAACAGGAUUAGAUACCCUGGUAGUCCACGCCGUAAACGAUGAGUGCUAAGUGUUAGAGGGUUUCCGCCCUUUAGUGCUGCAGCAAACGCAUUAAGCACCCCGCCUGGGGAGUACGGUCGCAAAGACUG
Molecule: ribosomal RNA, 377 nt
Filed under: uncultured organism
Description: partial 16S ribosomal RNA
Rfam family: Bacterial small subunit ribosomal RNA
Source: RNAcentral